UCGAUAUUUAACCGGGAUGAAAACAGAUUUUCCCCACCUCAGACCCCCCUAGGCUGGGCUGGGUGCUGCUACAAGGUCUGCAAAUGAAGCUGGAGGCCAGGACACGAAAUGCCUCACCCAGAGCAGCAGAGAAAGACAAAGAAACCUGAGCAAUGAGGGAGUAAUGAGUGCCAGCCAUUAGGAAAGAGCAUUGUUCCACAUCAGGUCCUGGAGAGAAGACAUUUUCCCAAGUUACUAUGGAGAUGGCUGCGAUGCAGGCAGCAAGCACAAGGGAAGGAACAGUAUUUGGAGCAGAUGGAUGCAUACGAGGUAUAUUGGAUGGUCUAAUUAAAGUGAUUGAUUCACUCCAGAAAUAUGUCAUAAUUUCUCUGGCCUUUCUUUGGUAAAAUUCUUCCUGAGCCUGCACAAACAAUCACUGUGGAGCUGGGACUAUGUCUGACAAUGGAUUUAUGCAAUGGCCAGUGCAAUGAGACCAUGACCAUGUUAACCCUGCCAAAGAGAGACCAAUUAAUGUGACAGCUGACCCUGAAAUUUGGGUUUUUGCUCCACAUUAUGCAGCUGCUCUGAAGCAUCAUCACAAGCCUGUCAUUAUUCUAUGCCUUGGUUUUCUGUAAAAUUGAGUGUUUUACCCUCUUUUGAGUGAAUAUUUUAAGACCUAAUGAUGCACCGUGCUGCUUAUUAUUAUCACCAGUGUAACACAUUAAACCAGUGUCAUAAUCUGGUGUGCUUAACAAUGAGAAAAUCGCUAGAGUUGUUAGAAGGCAGGAAAGUUGGAAAUUACUUGUUCCUGAAAAGGUAACGUGUGAAGUACUGAUGCUGCCUUCUCAUCUGUAUUCAUCACAGCAAGUAGUAACUGUUAAGGCCUUCCCAGUACAGAAGAGCAAAGCCCCAAAGGUUUGGGGACUCCAUCCCUAAAUGCCAUACAAAGUCAGGAAUCAACAAGAUCAUUAUGUUUAAUACCAAAUAUUUAAUAACGAAGGUAGCAGUGAGAUUGUGUUUCAUUCUGAUAUGUAUAAUCAGUUUUACUUGAAACAGCAAGUCACCAGCCUGGUGCCAAACCCCUGUGAAAAGGAACUCAAGAAACAAAUGUCUUUGGGUACCUUCAGGAUAUAUAUAGAAAACUAUUUUUUUGAAAGGUGUGAGUCAGACUGAGUUUGCAAGAUGUAAAUCAUGUCAGACAAAUAUUAAUUUCUAUAAAUAAAAUUAAAUAAUUGUCUAUUAAUAAAUUUAAAUAAAUUUAUAUUAAUUUCUAUAUGAUUAAUCAAAUAACUAUCAGUCUCCGUAGAGGAAGACCAAGAAAUUCCAUAAAUCUGGUGGGGUUUUUUUGUUUGUUUGUUUUUAAAAAGGUUUACCUUGAAGUGGUAUCACAUGAUGAAUUUUUGUAAAGCCUUUUAAUCCUGGCUUGUAAUUGAGGUUUGUAGUGCUGUGUCGCUGCCUCACAGAGCCUGGGCAAAGGUUAGGGGCCAGGUACCCCAAGAGAUGCCAGCCCUACAUCAAGUUUUCUACAUCCUAUGCUGGGUUUCUUCAUCCCCUGAGAUCCUGCUCCCCACUGGCAUCACAAGCACCCCAGGACAGUCCCUCCAUACACACCACAGGCACCUGGAUGGCUUUCAUUUCCAGUGGGAGGCAGCUGGAGGAAUUUGUUCAGAAAGGUCCAGUUUUUCCAGAGUUAAACUGGCGACUUGCCACCUCGUGGCUCUCCUUAUGAUGGAGCUGCCACUCACAGCCUUUGGAGGACAUGGUGAGUAAACAGCAAAUCACGAUGGAAAAUGCUGCCACACCUGCCAUCGGGACUUUAUGCAGGACCAGUGUUUAUGU
Molecule: non-coding RNA, 1818 nt
Organism: Anas platyrhynchos (mallard)
Lineage: Eukaryota; Metazoa; Chordata; Aves; Anseriformes; Anatidae
Source: RefSeq, a predicted model, not a curated record